RNAcentral lists this ribosomal RNA (482 nucleotides) under uncultured bacterium. RNAcentral's name for it is "partial 16S ribosomal RNA". It matches the Rfam family "Bacterial small subunit ribosomal RNA", at positions 28 to 507 of the family's 1533-position model. The record is from RNAcentral.
GAUGAACGCUAGCGGCAGGCCUAAUACAUGCAAGUCGGACGGGAUUCUGGAGCUUGCUUCUGAUGAGAGUGGCGCACGGGUGCGUAACACGUAUGUAACCUACCUUUAUCAGGGGGAUAGCCUCUCGAAAGAGAGAUUAAGCCCGCAUAAAAUCACAGCACAGCAUUGUGUAAUGAUCAAAUAUUUAUAGGAUAAAGAUGGGCAUGCGGAACAUUAGCUAGAUGGCGGGGUAACGGCCCACCAGGGCGACGAUGUUUAGGGGAUCUGAGAGGAUGGCCCCUCACACGGGUACUGAGACACGGACCAGACUCCUGCGGGAGGCAGCAGUAAGGAAUAUUAGGCAGUGGGCGGGAGCCUGAGCCAGCCAUGCCGAGUGCAGGAAGACGGCCCUACGGGUUGUAAACUGCUUUUAGACGGGAAUAAACCCAGAUACGUGUAUGUGGCUGAAGGUACUGGAAGAAGAAGGAUCGGCUAACUCCGUG